CAGGGGCUGGUAUGGAAGUGAGGUCUCUAUUGAGGGGAGGUUGGUAGUCUUGGAUGCCCCCUGCGACAUCCCCAUUACUCAUGCUCAGGUGCUAUUUGCUAGCUGCUGGGAGUUAUUCCAAGAAAGAAGAGUCAGAGUGUGAGAUUCCAGAGAAGGCACAGGAAUCUGCCUGCAGUCAUGGUCACUCUCUGUUAACUCAGUCCCUGCCAGCCUUGUGGAGGAAAGGCCGGUGCAGCUGGGUGAAGCUCAGUGGCAGGGCCUUCCUCUGGGCUGCCCUUGGAGAGAUUUCUUGCCUCUCACUCAAGUUAAUGAGUUUUACUGGGCCAGUGAAGUGCCCAGGAUGGGAACCAGACAACCUGCCACCUCAUGACCUGGAAAGCCCAGGGAUUCUGAGGGCCUCUGCACAUAUCAUCAUCUGCCUCUGCCACCACCCACCUCCCUGUGUGGACUUCUAUUGACUGUGUCUGGAUCCAGCUUUAUAAGAAAAUUUCUUUACUCCUGCCCCUGCUUCCCCUAAGCCAGGUCAGGAUGUUCUAUCUAUGUUCUAUUUUUGGCAUGACUUCUGGCACUGCACUUGUCACAGAGUUUAUGUGUUAGCAUCCUGGUUAGUGUCUACUUCCCUUAUUAGAUUGCAAAUUUCAUGAAGGCUAGGUCUUACUUGUCCUCAUCUUUCAUCCCAGUAACUAACAGAGAUGUGGCUCAUAAAGGAGGUUUAAUAAACAUGUAUUAAAUGAAAAAAAAAAAAAAGACAUGUACCAUUCUGAUUCUAA
This is a long non-coding RNA of Canis lupus familiaris (dog), 770 nucleotides long. RefSeq lists it as uncharacterized. NCBI's taxonomy places the organism in Eukaryota, Metazoa, Chordata, Mammalia, Carnivora, Canidae. The record is from RefSeq and is a predicted model, not a curated record. The transcript has 2 exons.